UGUGGCCUAUGUGAUAGCAUUAAUCACGAACGGUCCAUGAGGAGAACUCUAAGCAAUGGAAGUAUUUGUACGAGUUGCACUCGCAUACAUACACAUAUAGGUAGGGUGUAAACACUAGGACACAUUGGGACAAAGUUUGUGAGGGCGGUGGGUGGUGAGGGGUAAUGUGAUGUCCCUUGGUGAGGUUGCCAGGGUGCUGGUUGGUAGCUGCUAAAGAGAAUAGGGAAGGGAUGGAGUGUAGUGUCUCCUAGCUGACAGGACAAGGAGCACUGAGAGCUCAGUGGAAAAGCAUGCAUAUGAACAAUGGUAUGCAAAAAUUAGGUAUCAGAUCAGAAAAUGGUUAUUUCAGCAACAUAAUCUUUUGGAUAGGAAAAGGAUAUAUGUGUAGCUAGAGGUACCUUUUCUUAGCAAAAAUGAGGGUCCGGCUUUAUUUCUCAAGCACAAUCAAUUGUGACUGCACAGUUGGUUGAAAAAAAUGAUCAGCGAUCAAUAUCUUGG
RNAcentral lists this long non-coding RNA (498 nucleotides) under Setaria viridis. RNAcentral describes it as "long non-coding RNA (SVIR_LNC005268)". Lineage: Eukaryota; Viridiplantae; Streptophyta; Magnoliopsida; Poales; Poaceae. The record is from RNAcentral.